Molecule: long non-coding RNA, 1066 nt
Filed under: Homo sapiens (human)
Lineage: Eukaryota; Metazoa; Chordata; Mammalia; Primates; Hominidae
Description: HSALNT0022338
Source: RNAcentral
AUUUUGCACAAGAAAGAAUCCAGGGCCUUCAGUACAUCUUUAUUAAUCUGACUGCCUGGUUGCAGUUACAUUUGAGAAUAAGACUGAGAUCAAAUUCCACGUUUAGAGUGAGAAAUGACUGCAGUUGAAGACUUGGUUGCAAGAGUCUAAGAAGACACCUCAGGGAGAGAGACAGGAUCCAAAACAAGAUUGCUGGCUGAGGUAAGAAGCUAUAAACCAGGAAGGACUCAUGGAACCUAGAGGUAUUCUCCAGAGAUUCCUCAGAAAUACCUAGGGAGAGGAAUCUGAUGGAAGACUGAACUUCUUCAAACAGGAAGGAAAUGGUUAUUUAGCCAUUAAAGGAAAUGUGAGCCAGAAUAAGUUUGGAGAAUUUGGGAGCAUGUGAAUUAUACACAAUAAUUGUAUUUUUCUGCAACUUCCUGUUUUCCACUUAAUUGUAUAUCGUGAAGUUAUUUCCAGGUCAGUAUAUAAAGAACUAUCUUAUUUUUCAAGCAGCUGCAUACUGUUUUUAAAGGUAACUUUGUUUAUUUAACUGUCUCCUAAUUGUAGAUGGAUGUUGGUUGCUAGCAAUUUGUUGUUGUUAUACAUAAACAGUGCUGCAGUGAACUAACUCACAUAUAAAUCUUUGUAAACAUACUCUCAUAUUUCUGUAGGGUGAGUUUUUUCAAGUGGGAUUGCUGAGUUCCAGAUGUAUGCAUUUGAAACUUUAAUAAAUUCUAUAAGAAUAUCCUCUAAAAAGUAAAAUUUAAAUUACUACAUUUAAACUCCUAGCAACAGUAUAUGAAAAUGUUCAUUUCAAGGUGUCCUUAACAAUGAAUUCUAUAAAAUUUUUGCCAAUAUGAUAGAUGAAAAUAACACUUCAUUCUUUUCAACAUACUUUUCUUUGAUAUUAGUGACACUAAUAAUCUUUUCACUGCAUAAUUAGCCAUGUAUAUUUCUUUUUCUAUGAUAUCUGUGCCUUGUUUGUUUAUCUAUUGGAUUGUUUACUUACUUUCUAAUGGUAGGGAUUUUUCAUAUUUUAUGAAUGUUAAAUUAUUAAAUUUAGUUUGUUAUAUGUGUUAAAAUA